RNAcentral lists this signal recognition particle RNA (289 nucleotides) under Saimiri boliviensis boliviensis (Bolivian squirrel monkey). Its description in RNAcentral is "Metazoan signal recognition particle RNA (ENSSBOG00000012217.1)". The stretch from base 98 to 236 matches the Rfam family "Metazoan signal recognition particle RNA", at positions 106 to 245 of the family's 299-position model. The record is from RNAcentral. Lineage: Eukaryota; Metazoa; Chordata; Mammalia; Primates; Cebidae.
UCUUAUUGUGGAUAUUUCCUUAAUGGUAACAGGUUAAAUAGAAAAUAAGCAGGUGAGAUGGCUCAUGCUUGUAAUCUGAGCACUUUGGGAGGCUGAAGUGGGCCGCACUAAGUUCAGCAUCAAUAUGGUGACCUCCCGUGAGUGGGGACCACCAGGUUACCUAAGGAGGUAUGAACCAAGCCAGGUAAAAAUGGAGCAGGUCAAAACUCCCAUGCUCAUCAGUAGUGGGAUCACGCCUGUGAAUAGCCACUGCACCCCGGCCUGGGCUACAGAGCAAAAUCCUGUCUCA